AGCAGGAAACUGGGGCAGAGAUAAUGAUAAACCCAGAAAAGCCACCAAGGACAUUUGCUGAUAGGCUGGGGUGUCCUGUUGGACAGGAACAGUUGCACAGAUCACGAACCCCCAACAAGGCUACUCAGUGUCUGUGAUGGAUCCAGAUGACACAAGACAUAGUAUGUGAACACAGACAAUGUGGACAUGGCCCAACUCCAGCAUUAACCAAACACCCCCACCCUGGCUGACAUGAGCGACUGCUCCUUUGAAUUCAAAGUAAAAGCAAAAAUCAGCCAUGGAUCUAAACUUCUUCCCUCCUUCUCACCUUCUAGGCAAGAGCAAUGAAGAUACCCAACUGUAGGAUCACCCGCUUCUUCACAGCAUCCAAUCCAGGGCCAAAGCUGGCCUCCUGGAGUCUUCUCCCAAGACACAUGACCAAACCCAAAUCCUCAAUAAGCACUGGGAUGCCCUCGGGUUCCCCAUGACCUGGGUUUGCUGUUGUUGUCUCAAACCAGUAACUUGGUUCCACCACCAGGAUGGCCCUGGUGGUCUUUGAAGAGCAAAAACUGACUCUGUGGGUAGGAGGUCUCUGCAGUUAUGGGACCCCGGACUUAGAAAACCCUGCUCCUUCAACCGCUGCUGCCAUAUUGAAAUUCUGAAUUGCUUUUGGAUGAGGGGCUCCCUAUGUUCAUGCUUUGGUAGGUCCCACAAAUUUCAUAGCCUGUUCUGCGGAAGGGCAUGGAUAGCAGCUAAUGUCACAGCCACUGCGGUCAAUGGGAGAAGCGGUGUAUUCAGGACCCUUUGGCCAGAUCUGCAGGAGGGGCUGGUACUUUGGAUCUAUGUAGGAGAAUCCUGGGAAGGGGGAGAUAACUUUUAAAAUCGAAUCGGGAGUGCUCUUCAUCCAGAUGGGACAUCCUGGGGGAGGUGUCAAGUACAACCACUUUGGAGUGGGUGGACAGGAGCCAAGAGUCUCCGUCUGGUGCAAAGAUACUUCUUCUCAAACAUGAUGAAGUGGGGAUGGGAUGUUACAAUAAUAAAAUCGGUGACCUAAUAUCGUACUACGGUUUUGCAACCUGUCACCGUUAGCGGGGCAACCAGGCCUGGGCUCGUGAGAGCUCUAGGAGUUAUUUCUUACAACUGGAUGUGAAUCUACAAUCAUCUCAAAAUGAAAAGUUUAAUUAAAAAAAAUUGGUGACCCAGAAAAUCAGGAUGUGAAUGGGACUUUGGCAGCUCGGGGCAGGUGUUACUGAUGCGUUAUUCAUCAGUUCUCAAAUCUGCAAGGAGUUUGGGGGCAGUUCACGCAAGCAGUGCAGCCCAGGGAAGGGGCUGUGCGUUGUGUCAGGGGGGGCAGGGGCAGCAUCGGUGGCA
This 1350-nucleotide long non-coding RNA is filed under the name Marmota monax (woodchuck). Lineage: Eukaryota; Metazoa; Chordata; Mammalia; Rodentia; Sciuridae. The record is from RNAcentral.